GAUGGAGAACUUUCCUUGCAUAAUGGAAAAUCAGUAUCUUAAAUAAAGGACUUGGAGUGGAACUUAGAGACAAAGGUAUCAAAGGAUACAUGUCCAAGUAGAAAGUAAAACCGAUUCAACAACAUUCAUUUCGUUUGACAAAGCGACUGAGAAAUUUGUAUCUAAGAUUGUAAAAGAACUUGCAGAGAUAUAAGCAGAGGUAAUUUCAAUUAGAAAUAUCAAUUCUAUUUCCGUAGCUUUUCCUCUUACAUACAUUAUCCCCAAUCUGUCCUUGCACUCAAAAACAAUGCCAGUCAAUUUUAUUUCUAUUAGCAAAACACUUGCACUUUAUUAGCAUCAUUAUUUGAACAAUUAACCAUCCACCCCCUUUCAUAUUUUACUAUUACAUUAAGUGAAAUAAACCAACCUUCAAAAACAAUUUUGUUCUUCAAAAAACACACAGAAUCUCAUGCAAAGCGUUAAUCAUGAUGUAUGUAUGUUUACUUUGCUAAAUUUAUGAGCUCUUAGGUUUUCUUCUUUUCCUAUUACUAACCAAUCAUAUUGACAGUUUAUGCCUGAUGUGUUAGUGUACAAUAUUGUUGAUUAAAAUCAUAAUGGUUGUUGAGGUUGUACUACUCUUUGUAUUUCUAUGGUAGGUAACGUAGAAGUAACAACCAUAUAGUUUAUCUCUACUAUAUACAAUCUCUUCUACCAAAAAAAAAAAAAAAAAAAAAAAUUGGGGGGGAG
Molecule: long non-coding RNA, 726 nt
Organism: Quercus lobata
Lineage: Eukaryota; Viridiplantae; Streptophyta; Magnoliopsida; Fagales; Fagaceae
Exons: 2
Source: RefSeq, a predicted model, not a curated record